Molecule: ribosomal RNA, 496 nt
Filed under: alpha proteobacterium enrichment culture DGGE gel band PCA12
Lineage: Bacteria; Pseudomonadati; Pseudomonadota; Alphaproteobacteria
Description: bacterial SSU rRNA
Rfam family: Bacterial small subunit ribosomal RNA
Source: RNAcentral
AUGCCGCGUGAGUGAUGAAGGCCCUAGGGUUGUAAAGCUCUUUCGCCAGGGAUGAUAAUGACAGUACCUGGUAAAGAAACCCCGGCUAACUCCGUGCCAGCAGCCGCGGUAAUACGGAGGGAGUUAGCGUUGUUCGGAAUUACUGGGCGUAAAGCGCACGUAGGCGGAUUAGUCAGUCAGAGGUGAAAUCCCAGGGCUCAACCCUGGAACUGCCUUUGAUACUGCUAGUCUUGAGUUCGAGAGAGGUGAGUGGAAUUCCGAGUGUAGAGGUGAAAUUCGUAGAUAUUCGGAGGAACACCAGUGGCGAAGGCGGCUCACUGGCUCGAUACUGACGCUGAGGUGCGAAAGUGUGGGGAGCAAACAGGAUUAGAUACCCUGGUAGUCCACACCGUAAACGAUGAAUGCCAGACGUCGGGCAGUAUACUGUUCGGUGUCACACCUAACGGAUUAAGCAUUCCGCCUGGGGAGUACGGUCGCAAGAUUAAAACUCAAAGGA